GACGAACGCUGGCGGCGCGCCUAACACAUGCAAGUCGAACGGACACAUCCGACGGAAUAGCUUGCUAGGAAGAUGGAUGUUGUUAGUGGCGGACGGGUGAGUAACACGUGAGCAACCUGCCUCGGAGUGGGGGACAACAGUUGGAAACGACUGCUAAUACCGCAUACGGUGGUCGGGGGACAUCCCCUGGCCAAGAAAGGAUUAUAUCCGCUCUGAGAUGGGCUCGCGUCUGAUUAGCUAGUUGGCGGGGUAACGGCCCACCAAGGCAACGAUCAGUAGCCGGACUGAGAGGUUGAACGGCCACAUUGGGACUGAGACACGGCCCAGACUCCUACGGGAGGCAGCAGUGGGGAAUAUUGCACAAUGGGGGGAACCCUGAUGCAGCGACGCCGCGUGAGGGAAGAAGGUUUUCGGAUUGUAAACCUCUGUCUUGUGGGACGAUAAUGACGGUAC
Molecule: ribosomal RNA, 453 nt
Filed under: uncultured bacterium
Lineage: Bacteria
Description: bacterial SSU rRNA
Rfam family: Bacterial small subunit ribosomal RNA
Source: RNAcentral